UUACAUUAAAAGAAAGACGCUAAGAUAUUGCCUCAUCAUAGAGAAUACACAACGAACCUCACCGUGUACACAAACAAACGAGUGAUUGGUUUAUUAAGCUGAGGGGCAGCGGAAGCGGAGCAUGACCGCGUCGGCAUAACACCGAACCAGCAAACGAUGACCUCAAACUCAAAACCCUCCUCCGUUCCGUAUACUUCUCUACCUUCCCACCCCGACCCGGUUCCCCAAAACGUCAUCGUUCUGUCUUACUACCACCCACCUCCCAACCCAUCACU
RNAcentral lists this unclassified non-coding RNA (275 nucleotides) under Hevea brasiliensis (rubber tree). Lineage: Eukaryota; Viridiplantae; Streptophyta; Magnoliopsida; Malpighiales; Euphorbiaceae. The record is from RNAcentral.